UACGGAGGGUGCAAGCGUUAUCCGGAUUCACUGGGUUUAAAGGGUGCGUAGGUGGGCAGGUAAGUCCGUGGUGAAAUCUCUGAGCUUAACUCAGAAACUGCCGUGGAUACUAUUUGUCUUGAAUGUUGUGGAGGUGAGCGGAAUAUGUCAUGUAGCGGUGAAAUGCUUAGAUAUGACAUAGAACACCAAUUGCGAAGGCAGCUUACUACAGGGACAUUGACACUGAGGCACGAAAGCGUGGGGAUCAAACAGG
This 253-nucleotide ribosomal RNA is filed under the name uncultured bacterium. Its description in RNAcentral is "partial 16S ribosomal RNA". It matches the Rfam family "Bacterial small subunit ribosomal RNA", at positions 524 to 776 of the family's 1533-position model. The record is from RNAcentral.